UACGUAGGGUGCAAGCGUUAUUCGGAAUUACUGGGCGUAAAGCGUGCGUAGGCGGCUUUGCAAGUCAGAUGUGAAAUCCCCGGGCUUAACCUGGGAACUGCAUUUGUGACUGCAUGGCUAGAGUGCGGCAGAGGGGGAUGGAAUUCCGCGUGUAGCAGUGAAAUGCGUAGAUAUGCGGAGGAACACCGAUGGCGAAGGCAAUCCCCUGGGCCUGCACUGACGCUCAUGCACGAAAGCGUGGGGAGCAAACAGG
RNAcentral lists this ribosomal RNA (253 nucleotides) under uncultured bacterium. Its description in RNAcentral is "partial 16S ribosomal RNA". It matches the Rfam family "Bacterial small subunit ribosomal RNA", at positions 524 to 776 of the family's 1533-position model. The record is from RNAcentral.